RNAcentral lists this ribosomal RNA (253 nucleotides) under uncultured bacterium. RNAcentral describes it as "partial 16S ribosomal RNA". It matches the Rfam family "Bacterial small subunit ribosomal RNA", at positions 524 to 776 of the family's 1533-position model. The record is from RNAcentral.
UACGUAGGGUGCAGGCGUUAAUCGGAAUUACUGGGCGUAAAGCGUGCGCAGGCGGUCUUUUAAGUCAGAUGUGAAAUCCCCGGGCUUAACCCGGGAACUGCAUUUGUGACUGCAUCGCUGGAGUGCGGCAGAGGGGGAUGGAAUUCCGCGUGUAGCAGUGAAAUGCGUAGAUAUGCGGAGGAACACCGAUGGCGAAGGCAAUCCCCUGGGCCUGCACUGACGCUCAUGCACGAAAGCGUGGGGAGCAAACAGG